AUUGAACGCUGGCGGCAUGCCUUACACAUGCAAGUCGAACGGCAGCAUGGAAGAGCUUGCUCUUCUGAUGGCGAGUGGCGAACGGGUGAGUAAAGCAUCGGAACGUACCGUGUAGUGGGGGAUAACGUAGCGAAAGUUGCGCUAAUACCGCAUACGCACUGAGGUGGAAAGCAGGGGAUCGCAAGACCUUGCGCUAUACGAGCGGCCGAUGUCAGAUUAGCUAGUUGGUAGGGUAAAGGCCUACCAAGGCGACGAUCUGUAGCGGGUCUGAGAGGAUGAUCCGCCACACUGGGACUGAGACACGGCCCAGACUCCUACGGGAGGCAGCAGUGGGGAAUUUUGGACAAUGGGCGAAAGCCUGAUCCAGCCAUGCCGCGUGAGUGAAGAAGGCC
Molecule: ribosomal RNA, 392 nt
Filed under: uncultured bacterium
Lineage: Bacteria
Description: bacterial SSU rRNA
Rfam family: Bacterial small subunit ribosomal RNA
Source: RNAcentral